AGACGUUCAGUUCGUUUCCCCUACAAAGGAAGAGGAGACCGGAGACGGGACGUUUGCUUUGUUGGCCGAACUCUUCGGCUGCUGGGGAUUUCCUUCAAACGCCAUUAACUUCUCACACUCAGCAGCCACUCGGGAGUUGGGAAACAAUCUCCUGGGGUUUGUGCUGGCGUGAUUAAGGAAAGAGGCCACUUACAGGCCUUUGUCUAAAGCCUCGCGCCGGUGGUGGCUGGGGUCAGGAAAGCUGGGAGGUUCAACUACGGGCGAGAAAAUUGGGGCACUUUCCACGUCUCUCCCGAAAAUAAAAGAAAGGAUGCCGGGCACGGCGGCUCACGCCUGUAAUCCCAGCACUUUGGGAGGCCGAGGCGGGCGGAUCACCUGAGGUCAGGAAUUCGACACCAGCCUGGGCAACACGGUAAAACCUCGUCUCUACUAAAAAUACAAAAAAUUAGCCGGGCGUGGUCGCGGGCGCCUGUAGUCCCAACUACUCGGGAGGCUGAGGCAGGAGAAUAGCUUGAACCCGGGAGGAGGAGGUUGUAGUGAGCCGAGAUCGUGCCACUACACUCCAGCCUGGGCGACAGAGUGAGACUCUGGCUCAAUAAAUAAAUAAAUAAAUAAGUAAAAUAGUUGAUGUUAUUUGAAGUGCAUGUGGCUAAAAAAGCCUUCUGGGUGAUUCUGAUGCACAAUCAACUUUGAGAUCCACUGCUGCUUUAUGCAAAUGUAAGCAAUAUACUGUUUAUUAAUGUUUCCUCCCGUUUCACCUAAUGGCAGCACUGUACUCCACGGUGUUCUGGACUUUGCUUUAUUCACUUAAUAUAUUCUGGAGACUUUUCCAUAGCUGUACAUAGAAAGUAUCCCCAUUAUUUUACGGAGUAUUCCAUUGCUUAUCCAGCUUGUCCCCUGAUGGACAAACUAUAUUGUUUCUGAUCUUUCACUAUUAAAAGCAGUACUGCAAUGAAAAUCUUUGAUCACAUCUCCUUUGUCACCUGCGUGGGUAUGUCAUUGUGGUUUAACUGCAUUUGCCACCAAGUAGAUGACAUAAUCACAUGGGCUGACUUUUUGACCCUCUUUUUGACUACCUCUUUUAAAUCGCUUUUUGCACAAAUCACAGCCUAAGUGACAGCAGAUAACAUUUUCUUCCCCUCUAGCACCACCUUCCCCAGGGUGCCUCCCUGGGGCUCACAUGUGUUCUCACAGUGCAGGCUGAAUUAGGAAAAGGAGCCUCUUCCUCAGGGUAGAGACAGCUUCCUCCCAGGCAGCAACUUGGAUUUCAGCGCUUCUCACCCUCUUUCCCUAGACUAGGAUUUGUUUCUUAAUCUCUGUGCUACUGACAUUCUAGGCCACAUAAGUCUUUGUUACAGGAGCCUGUCCUGUGUACUGUAGGAUAUUUAGUGGCAUCCCUGGCCUCUACCCAUUAGAUCCCAGUGGCACCCAGACACAAAGAUGUCGCCAGACAUUGUCAAAGGCACUGGGGUGUGGGUGCUGGGUAAACCAGCCCUGGUUGAGAGCCAGCUCUAGGCCCUUGUUUCCCACUGCUUCUUUGUCUGGCUCUGGAUGGUUAGGUCAUCAGUUGUUCACACAAGCACUGGCUCUGUGUCCCUCCCUAGCCAGCCCAGGGCUCAUCUUGGCUGGGCACUCAGGGCAACCUAUCCCAGUCCUUCCAACCUGAAGGUGCAAUAAGACACCUCGCAAGGAUGGAUGGGGCCUGGCCCAGGUUCUGUAAGGCAUCCCACCAGGGCCAGCCAUGCUUUGGGCUUUCUUGUUAUCCUGACUUACCAGAAUGGAGCAUUGGUCAAAGGCUUAAGCAGUGAACUGGCCAUUCCUUGGUCACUUCCAACUAGUCUAAACUCUUCUCCCUGCUCUCUGAUGCCUCCAGCCCAGCUAGCCGGAUUUCUCAUCCUCCCCAAACUUCUCCCUUUAUGCUGAAUCACCUGAGAUGGUUUAUGCCAAAUGCUCAGCACAGUGCCUGGCACACAGCAGAGGCCAGUCUGUUCUGACUCCCUGCCAUGCUUGGAAUGGCCCUUUCGUGCUCGAGGCAGAGGCCUGCCCACCUCUCCAGUCCUUCUUGUCCAUCCCAAAGAACCACAAGCUUGCCACUCCUCCCUCUUCUGACCACGUUGGAUAACUUCUGCUCACCUGAUCUCACUUUUCUGACCUGGUCAGCUGAACAUAUAGCACUUAAUUCAGCUAGUUUCACUCAGUUUCUGUCUGUCCACCUCUUUGUCUAGUCUUCCAAAUGGGUCAGUACGCUCCUGCCCUUCUGGGUCUCCUCCCAGGCACAGCCCCUGGUGGCUGUGCUAUUUCUUGCAGCAAAGGGUAGGCUGCAUGUGUAGGCUUUAGAGGCAGAAUGCCUGUUCUUGCUAGCUGGGUCACUGUCUACCAGAGUGAUUUGGGGUAAGAUACUUGAUCUCUUUGUGGCUUAGUCACCACAUCUGUGAAAUGGGGACACUCUGACUACCUCUCAGGGUGCUGAGAAGCAAAGGAUGAGGAAUCUACAGGGCGUGGCACUGAGUACUGUUCCAGAUCCACUGCUGUUUGAGCCAGAGGGGCCCUAGAAGGGAGGGAAAAGACAAGGGAGAGCCUGGGUGCUGGUUUGUGCCCCUCUUCUGGGGCUUUAAGAUCAGUCUAAUGAGUUGAAAUGGGAAAUGCUCUUCAGAAGCAUCAGCUACCAUCAAAGUUAUCCUUCCUCAGCCCAUGCUGUUGUGCUUGAUUUAAUCCAUUUGGUUCUCGAUUUGGAAACAAAAAGUAUUUUUUGGAGCUCCUUUCUGUCUGGGUUAAUCUUCCUUGGAAUGUGUGAAGCAAAGAAAGAGUAACUGAACACAGUAUGUAAAGAAGAAGGAGGGUGUCUGUGUGGGCUUGCAAUCAGUGAGGGCUCCCUGGACGGGGUGAGGCUCUAGCUGGAGCUUGAGGACAGCCAGGAUCAGAGAGAUGAGGAGGAGGAAGGAUAGUCCAGGUGACCAAGGAGACAGGUGAGCAAUGGAGUGCCAGAGUGCCAAAGCAACGGCCAACUUGUAAAUGACUGAGAGAAAGAGAUGUCAGUAUACUCAGGCACCUCUAAUGGGGUUCGCUUUAUUCAAUAGCUUUAAAGAAGAGCAGCAGAGAUCUACAACCAAUUCUUGGGGGCUCAAAUUGCUCCCAAGGCCACAAAGAAGAGCCAGACCAGUGGGAAACCACCCUGGCCUGUGUAUAGAGUGAGUUAGACAGGCACAAAGAACAAUUUUAUGUUGGGGAGGAGAGGAGACAGCCAAGGAUCUCCAGCGUGAGCUCCUGAGUGAGGGAAGCUCAGGGACACUGCAGGCCCUUCCUGUGAGGAUAGGAAGGAAAUAUGCCUUUUCAUUUUUCAGCUGAUCAGUCAACUCCACAGGAACAAACCAGAGCUCAGAAAAAUAUGUCCAUGGGCCGGGCAUGGUGGGUCACCCCUGUAAUCCCAGCACUUUGGGAGGCCGAGGUGGGCAGAUCACUUGAGUUCAGGAGUUUGAGACCAGCCUGGCCAAUAUGAUGAAACCCCGUCUUUACUAAAAAUACAAAAAUUAGGCAGGUGUGGUGGCACACACCUGUAGUUCCAGCUACUUGGGAGGCUGGACAGGAUAAUUGCUUGAACCUGGGAAGCUGAGAUUGUGGUGAGCCGAGAUUGUGCCAUUGCACUCCAGCCUGGGUAUCACAGUGAAACUCCAUCUCAAAAAAGAAAAAGAAAAAAGAAAAAUAGGUCCAUGAAAUGAUGCCUCAAUCGCCUGCCUUGUGAGGCGGGCAGUACUAUGCCUGUAUCACUGCAGAUCAAGCAGCUUGCCAGGGUCCCCAGUUGUUGGGGUGGCAGAGCUUCCCAAAGGCAAUGGGGUUGGAGGAGAGCCCUGAAACAGACCCUGAGGUUCUGUCCCCAGCCCCCAGAAGAUAUUUCUCUCAAGAUCCUGGGGUAGGGGGUGACUUGCAGUCUCAUCCCACCCUGUCUGCCAGGUCUGCCCCAUGCCAAGAGAUUCACUCCUAGCAGGGGAAAGGUGGCCUGAUACUUCUACAACUUAUAAGAAAAUAUUUCUCAUCUGGCUUCCCUGUCUCUCAGACCAUGUCCCUGCUUUUCUUCUCAAGGGCUCAUUGUUAUCUUGGAGACUUCUAAAAUCUUCCUUUUUCCUGUGUUCAAAUAUGUCUCCGGAGUUAUGCGAUGGAGAAUGACCCUGCUCAAAUCUCCGAGCCAUUACCAUGCCAUCUAUGAGGUUAAUGUCUGAAAGGAUGAGAGUGGCCCAACAAAGCUGCCUUCCUGUGUAGGGGAGUGAGAGAGCUUGUCAAGAGGCCACAGAGGCUAAGGGGCAUUGAGGUCUACUGAGGACACUCCUCUUUGAUGAGUUCAUGAAUAUUCAAACAUGCAAAUGACAUACCAUGUCUACAGGCCCCACAGUCUUCAACCCACUUUCAAGGGUGGCUGGUGGAUUUAUUUCUGUGUAGAAAAUGGUUCUGCAGUGUGGGUCAGCUACUUUCUAUCUGACCCUCUUCAUACAAUCACAUAUUUGUUUCUCAGAUUAUGACAUACAGUACAAGAGAUGGGUUUCUUUCUCUCCUUUUUUUGUUCUCUCUCUUUCUUAUUUUAUUAUAGGAAAUUUUGAACGUAUGUAAACUUAAAGAGAAUAGUAUAUUGAGCCACCAUGGAUUCAUUUCCUAGCUUCACCAAUUAUUAACCCAUAGCCAAUCUCAUUUCAUCUAUAUCACCACCUACUCCCCAAUUUUCAAAAUUAUUUUGAGGCAAAUACUGGAUAUCAUAUCAUCUGGGGACAUUUCAAAAAGUAUCUCUCAAAGAUAAGAACUCAUUUUUUAAAAGCUUAAAACAACAAGAACUUUUACAGUUCUGAAGGUCAGAAGUCUGAAAUGGGUCUCAUGGACUGAAAUCAAGGUGUUGGCAGAAUUGCAUUCCCUCUGGAGGCUCUAGGGAAAUAUCUCUUCCUUACCUUCUCUAGCUUUUAGAUGCUGCCUGCAUUUCCUUGCUUGUGGCCACUUCAUUCGGACUGUUGCUUCCUUCCUUACAUUUUCUUCUCUGACUCCCUUGCCUUUUGUAUAGAUACCUAUGUGAUUGCAUUAUGCCCACCCAGAUAAUCCAGGAUAACCUCUCCAUCUUAGAUCUUUAAUCACAUCUCCAGAGUCACUUUUGCCAUUAAAAAGGUAGCCAGCCUAUUUGAGAUUAAGAUAUGGACACUUUGGGAAAGCCAUUAUUCUGCCUACCAUAUCAAGGAAAAAAAAAUCUCAUUCCAGUAAUAAAAAUGUCAGUCAAUAUAAUAAGCAAGGCCUUAAUGUGAUCUCAACAUUCUUUCUGUCCCAAUUUAUGACUUUGGGCUAGAAAGCUAUAGGAAAUUAUUUUUCUGCAUUUUGCUUCUCUUAUGUUACCCA
Molecule: long non-coding RNA, 5364 nt
Filed under: Homo sapiens (human)
Lineage: Eukaryota; Metazoa; Chordata; Mammalia; Primates; Hominidae
Description: non-protein coding lnc-MRPS22-7:2
Source: RNAcentral